Molecule: small nuclear RNA, 107 nt
Filed under: Calidris pygmaea (Spoon-billed sandpiper)
Lineage: Eukaryota; Metazoa; Chordata; Aves; Charadriiformes; Scolopacidae
Source: RNAcentral
GUGCUCACUUUGGCAGCACGUAUACUAAAAUUGGAACGAUACAGAGAAGAUUAGCAUGGCCCCUGUGCAAGGAUGACAGGCAAAUUCAUGAAGUGUUCCAUAUUUUU